Molecule: ribosomal RNA, 446 nt
Filed under: uncultured bacterium
Lineage: Bacteria
Description: bacterial SSU rRNA
Rfam family: Bacterial small subunit ribosomal RNA
Source: RNAcentral
ACCAGACUCCUACGGGAGGCAGCAGUGGGGAAUAUUGCACAAUGGGGGAAACCCUGAUGCAGCGACGCCGCGUGAGCGAUGAAGUAUUUCGGUAUGUAAAGCUCUAUCAGCAGGGAAGAAAAUGACGGUACCUGACUAAGAAGCCCCGGCUAACUACGUGCCAGCAGCCGCGGUAAUACGUAGGGGGCAAGCGUUAUCCGGAUUUACUGGGUGUAGAGGGAGCGUAGACGGCUGUGCAAGCCAGAUGUGAAAGCCCGGGGCCCAACCCCGGGACUGCUCUUGGAACUGCGCGGCUGGAGUGCAGGAGGGGCAGGCGGAAUUCCUGGUGUAGCGGUGAAAUGCGUAGAUAUCAGGAGGAACACCGGUGGCGAAGGCGGCCUGCUGGACUGCGACUGACGUUGAGGCCCGAAAGCGUGGGGAGCAAACAGGAUUAGAUACCCUAGUAA